Molecule: long non-coding RNA, 983 nt
Organism: Sapajus apella (tufted capuchin)
Lineage: Eukaryota; Metazoa; Chordata; Mammalia; Primates; Cebidae
Exons: 3
Source: RefSeq, a predicted model, not a curated record
CGGGAUGGGGGAGGUGAUGAGUUAUCCGUGUUCCCUCUGUGCUUUUCUGCUUCUAAUACAAAGAUUUUUAGUUUGUUUUUGCUUUUUGGUAGAGACAGGGUCGCACUAGGUUGCCCAGGCUGCUCUCAAACUCCUGGCCUCAAGUGAUCCUCCUGCCUUGGCCUUCCAACAUGCUGGGAUUACAGGCAUGAACCACUGUGCCCAAUCAACACACAGCAGAGUAAGUCUUUGGCCUUCACAACCAAAACAUAACCAAAUUACUAUUUACUGCUUCUAUCAGGACAAUGUUCUCCACUUGUUUUUGGUUUGUCUGUCUUUGGGAGAAAUUCCUUCUCUGUGCUGGGAAUGCCUCUUUGGCAGCCCCUGUAACCCAAACUGGCUGUCAGGCACGUCAUCACUGACAACGUACUGCAUGUCUGUCUGCUUCUCUGGGACUUGAUCUGAGACCAAAAUGGGGCAGUCUGGAAAAUUCCCUGCAAAAACAAAAUAGAUCCCAAAACUAGUAACAUGACAGAUCCUUAAAAGAUGAAAUGAAUAUUCAACUUUUGACUCUGUAUUUCCAAGGGGAAACUGGUUUCUAAUAUUUGUGGAAAGAAAAAUGUCCUUUAAGAAGCAAACCAAAAAAAUACAAAAUUGUGACCCAGAGGACAAUGAGUGACUUCUUGACUUCCUAGGGGUGCUGUGGCUUUUGAGUUCUGAUGGUGACAAAAAUAUUUUGGCAGAGACUCGGUCUCAAAACAAAACUAAAGUGACCGCCUGCAUCCUCCAGGACAGGCCCCCAGGACUCAGUGACCUGCCGGCCGCAGUGCUUACCAGGCACGUUUCUGCCAUUGGGUUUCAGUUCAUGCUGAAGAAUCCGCCCAAAGGCAUUGUGUUCCACGCAGAAGGUAUGGUCCAGCACCGGUGUGAUGUCAUUCUCUCUGUUGAAGACAGAAGGUGACGUCGGUUAGAGUUCAGCCACAACGUGCCAACGAAAGGAACAU